Molecule: ribosomal RNA, 429 nt
Filed under: Acidobacteriota bacterium
Lineage: Bacteria; Pseudomonadati; Acidobacteriota
Description: Acidobacteria bacterium partial 16S ribosomal RNA
Rfam family: Bacterial small subunit ribosomal RNA
Source: RNAcentral
UGGGGAAUUUUGGACAAUGGGGGAAACCCUGAUCCAGCCAUCCCGCGUGUGCGAUGAAGGCCUUCGGGUUGUAAAGCACUUUUGGCAGGAAAGAAACGUCAUGGGUUAAUACCCCGUGAAACUGACGGUACCUGCAGAAUAAGCACCGGCUAACUACGUGCCAGCAGCCGCGGUAAUACGUAGGGUGCAAGCGUUAAUCGGAAUUACUGGGCGUAAAGCGUGCGCAGGCGGUUCGGAAAGAAAGAUGUGAAAUCCCAGAGCUCAACUUUGGAACUGCAUUUUUAACUACCGGGCUAGAGUGUGUCAGAGGGAAGUGGAAUUCCGCGUGUAGCAGUGAAAUGCGUAGAUAUGCGGAGGAACACCGGUGGCGAAGGCAGCCUCCUGGGAUAACACUGACGCUCAUGCACGAAAGCGUGGGGAGCAAACAGG